UACGUAGGGGGCUAGCGUUGUCCGGAAUCAUUGGGCGUAAAGCGCGUGUAGGCGGCCCGGUAAGUCCGCUGUGAAAGUCGGGGGCUCAACCCUCGGAUGCCGGUGGAUACUGUCGGGCUAGAGUACGGAAGAGGCGAGUGGAAUUCCUGGUGUAGCGGUGAAAUGCGCAGAUAUCAGGAGGAACACCAAUUGCGAAGGCAGCUCGCUGGGACGUUACUGACGCUGAGACGCGAAAGCGUGGGGAGCAAACAGG
Molecule: ribosomal RNA, 253 nt
Filed under: uncultured bacterium
Lineage: Bacteria
Description: partial 16S ribosomal RNA
Rfam family: Bacterial small subunit ribosomal RNA
Source: RNAcentral